This is a long non-coding RNA of Xiphophorus couchianus (Monterrey platyfish), 10025 nucleotides long. RefSeq lists it as uncharacterized. Lineage: Eukaryota; Metazoa; Chordata; Actinopteri; Cyprinodontiformes; Poeciliidae. The record is from RefSeq and is a predicted model, not a curated record. The transcript is spliced from 2 exons.
UUGCUGAAACACAUAAACACAACACUCUCCAGCAAAACACACACCCACACACAUGCUCAAGACACCAUGAUGACGUAGAACUAACCUUUAAGACACAUGGAAACAUCUACAACUAUACACAUACAGUAUACAUUACAAGAUUAAUGGUCAAGUGUACACAUUUUUAUUUCUUAACACUUUUCUACAUUGUGCCAUAUUAUAAGCACAAACUUCAAUGUAUUUUGUCUCGACUUUAUAGAUAUGCCAACAAUAACAAGCGGACAAUUGUAAAGUGGAAGAUAAAGUAUAGUUUCAAAAUUGUUUAGCUAAAUUAAGAUCUAGAAAGUGUUGCUUGCAUUUGCAUUCAGCUCCCACAACUCAAUACUUUGUAGAACCAACAUCAGUUGCAAUUACAGCCCAAGGCGUUGGGGUGUGUUCCUAACAAAUUUGCACUACUAAUUUGUUGUUUGUCAUUGUUGGUCAUUUUUAUUUGCAAUUGUGCCAAGUGUUUAGCAUCCGCUAACACUUUUAGCACAAUCCAUCUUUUAUCAACUUUGAGCAGCUUCCCUAUCCCUGUUGAAGAAAAGCAUCCCCAGAGCAUGAUGCUGCCUUCACUAUGUUACACCAUGGGGAUGGUGCAUUCAUAAGGAUGUGCAGUGUUAUUUUUCUUCUGCACAUGUAUUCCAAAAUGUUGAAGAUUGGUUUCCUCUGACCAGAAUUACCAGAUCUUUACUGGGCUUCCCCUAUGACUGAGGCAGAACCAUGAGGUACAUGGUGGUGGCUAAAUCAUGCUGUAGGGAUGCUUUUCUUCAAAUAAUAAAAUUAUUCCAAUACUUAAAAUCCUAAUAAAAUACAUUGAAGUAUGUUGUUGUAAUGUGACAAAGUCUGAAAACGUUCAAAGGGUCUGAAUACUUCUGCAGGCCACUUUAUGUGUGAUUUAACAAAACCUCAGACUGUAAAUAGUGAAAAAACAAAAGAAGGGACUCUUACAAGAAAUAUACUCUCUCUGUUAAUCUAUUACCAAAAAUAUAAGACUUAAACCUUUACUAUCUGAAUUCAUUUACAUUUACACGAAAAGCUAUGUUCUUGCUUUUAAGCUAAUGCUAAUUUAAGUAAAGAUUGUUAAUUUGAAAAUAGAACAAACAAUUUAUGUAAAUGUGCAUAUUUAUUAUGCCUGAUUGGGGAUAACUGUGUUUUUCUGACUCAUGUACUUACAGAGUUUCCAGUCUGAUUCUUGGUACAUGUAGAAUAUGAACCAACAGGCUUUAACACCACCUUGGCUGCAUGAGGACUGGAUGCAGUUUGAGGUGAAUUUGCACAAUAUGCUUAACAGGUGAUUCUAAUGUUCACUUUUGAUAAAGAUUAUUGUUAGAGUUUAUCCUGAGCUGUCUCUGUAGGCUGGUGGACAUAUUGCUCACAUUCCCCAUUUUGCUACAGUAUGUUCUCCUCUUUAUGCACAUUAUUUGAUAUUAUUGCUGAUUUUACAUGUAUUUUCUGGCUUUGUGUUUCUUUGCACAGAAGGCUCACCUAUUAUACCUAUUCUGACAAUAGGUACAAUAGGUGAGACUAGGUAAGACUGUAACCAGGCUUACCUAGGAUUGUUCAACUUUCUGUACAUUUAACUGUUAUAUAAUUUUAUAUUACAUAUUAAUGUGAAACUUAGCCAACUAAACUCAGUCUCAUGGGAGCAUAUUGCUCACACUGGACACAUGGACAUUGAAUAAAAUGCUGAAGAGUGAUGGAAGCACAGAUUAGAAAGAGAGGAAAGAAGAAAAUAGGCUUAUUUCCACACCUGAUAUUGACAUUGGUGAAUUUACUAAUAUUAUCUCCAUUGCAAGAUUUCUAAUGUCCUGCAGCCCAACUUUAGAAAACAAAUUGUUGUGAAUUGGUGCUAUGUGAAUGAAGGAAACUGAUUAGAAAUUAGCCACAAUUAGAUGCAACAUCGUCAUUACAAGAAGAAACCACAGAAAACUAAAAAACAACACAUGCCAAAACUAAAGUAAAUUACAAAAAUUCGGGACAAAUGGCAUCUUGGAAAAAGUGUAAAGAAACUCAAGAAGUUCAAGUUAGCUGCUGUGUUUCAUUGUUGUCAUCUUCAGUAGGUUAAGGAAUUUUUUUUUCAUAAUCUGUUAUUUUGUUCUCAGAUGAUAUCAGGGAGCUGGGCUUCAAAGCAGAAUUAAUGGUUUAUCCAGAUAAUGUCAGGGCUUUCAGUAUUACAACACCACUGGUUCACCUCUUAGCUGGCUUUGUUACUAUGGUAACUAAACUACUCUGGAUCAGGGCAAUUUAAAUGUAAUAUAAGUCUGGAUGGCAAUGAAAAUAACUAAACGACAAUGCAUUUGCUUUUUGGACUGCUUUGGUUUUACCUUUGCUGAUAAUUUAAGUUAAUUUAUUUGGUAGAGACUAUGCAUAUUAAUUAACAUUUUUUCUAAAUAGGCCAUAAUUACCCAAAAGGUCAUUUUUCAUCUGUUGUCCCUGUGCAAAGAAGAUUUAAAGCAGCCGGAAUUAGUACGAGAAUCACUCUUCAUGUGUUCCCGUUAUGAAUGGUGCAUAUGGGUAAGCAUCAUUCAUAAUAUUCCUCUGUCAAAAUGCUACUUUUGCUGUGACAUCACUGAGCCAUUAUUUUCUUUUUUUAUUUAAAGAUUAACUUUCUCUCUGCUUCUGUGGUGACAAAUGCCUGGUAAAGCAGUGAUAGAGAAUUAUCAUUUGAGUUGGUUUUGAGUUGCCAAAAUCAACUCAAACAUCAUUUGAUGUUUGAGUGGAUUUUGUCAUAUCUCUAUAAAAAAUUGAGAGAUAUGUUGAACCAACUUUGUAGUAUAGGGUAAGUGUUAUCUCCUACAGAAGAUCAGCCAUUUCUGUGGAUAAUCAAAUUUAACUAACUGCUAACCAAGAUAUAUUGAUCUUAUUCAGGCUGCAGAAUUUGCAGAAACAUCAAAAGGUUCUGCGUGGAGAGGUGCGCUAACGGCUAAUCGGUGUACAGCUAGUUCCAGAACCGAUUUCAGGUACCUUAUGACAACUACAACUCAUUUCAAUGUUAUGUUUAUGUUCUGAUCAAGGAAUCCAGAAUGAUUCAAAUUAAAUUAUAUUCCAAAAUGUCAGAAAUGAUUUCUAUCCAAGAAAACCAACAUAUUGCAUCAAAUAAUAACUUUAGCGUAGGUAACAUCAUUUUCAGGCAUAGAGCCAAAGUAUACUGCAGGUAAGAUGUUGCCUGCUGAUUCUAAGUCUCAGAUCAACGUCUGUCUCCAUUUGCUUUCAACAUGGACAAUUCCUGAAAUCUGUUUAUAUGUAUGACUUGUACUUAUUUACUAUCACUGCUGCAAUGGUUGAGUAAAGAAAUUAUUAUUAGAUGGACAGGGUAAAAAUUCAGUGCAUCUGCACAUUGAGUGCUGGGUGCAGAAACUGCUCACUUUGUACCAACAAGACAGAAAUUUCUCAAGGAAACUGCUGAACCUACUCCAUCUUUGUUGUAAACUUGAAGCACAGGAUUAGCUGUAUUUCAAGAAACAGCAUGUUUGGUUCAUUUUGAUAAAUUAGAAGAUGCUGAAGCUCUGAUCCCUGGUGCUUUUAGGUGGCUUAGUUUGAGCCCAGCUCUGCCCAAAAAGUAACAAAAUCCUUCCAGAAGCUUGCAGUUUCUUUGAUCCAUUCCAUACAGUCUCCAAGGAAGAAGCUCCAGAUUGUUACUCAGAAAUAGUUCAGCGCAGCAGUGAUUACACAAUAAGAGCUUAUGGCCCAGUUGGAGGAUUUGGUUACUGCUGGGUGGAGACAGAUUGGCCAUUUUCUUGUUUAUGUAUGUAUGCUAAACUAAGCCAGUGUGUCCUGGAUCCAGCCUCGGAUAUAAGACAGACAGAAGUCGAGGAGAGUAUAUAUAAUCCGGCUCAGAAAUACAGUAUGCGCAUUUUAAAAUGUCAAAGUGAUUCUUUCAUGGAAUCUUAAGUCUGAUUGAGCAGCUACUGAAAAUGAUUUAACUGAAGAUUUUAGCCAAUACCAAUGAAAUUUACAAAACUAAAACAUUGGAAAAUGAUACAGUCACAACGCCGCCUACACUUAUUGACACCUCUGGUAAGGAUAUGAAUAGCGAACCUUAAAAUGAAUUCAUCUUUAAUUGCAGUAUGAUGAUUUUACAAUGAAAACACUUUAAACAUUUAAUUUGAGUACGGUAAUUCACUUAGAAAAUCCACUGUAAUUUAAAAAAAAUUGGUAGCACACUUAUUAGCCUCCCUAAUAAUUCCUAUCUAGUAAAUGCAACUGAAUUGUCAGUAAUUUGGUCUUCACUUUAUUUAGGUUUAAAAGAGUUUGAAAAGGUUCAUUAAUAAUUUUUAUCAUACUAUUCAAUUACACUGACAUAUUGCAGAAUAUUAUGCAACCUAGCAAAGUUUCAAAAUGGGAAAGACCAGAGAACAUUCUAUUUAAGUAAGACAGGUGUGUGUUGCUCACUGUGGGUCAAGAAAUAAUGACAAGAAAUAAGACACUCGUCCAAAUGUGCCCUUUCCUACAGUUAGACCAAUAAUUAAAACAUCUAUAAACUGGAAAUGUGGCAAACAAGGCUGGACAAAAACCCAAAUGUAUCUUUCCACAGCACACAAUAAGCAGCAAUGUAAAGGAGGUAAAGAAAUCUUCAGAUCUCAUUAUAGGAACACUAAAAUCUCUUGCAUGGAAAAGCAGAAAGUUAGUUUAGACUUUUAGAGGACACCUCCAUAAUAAGCCUUUCUGCUUUCUGUCAGUGGAGUCCCUUAGUUUGUAUUACGGAUACUUUAAGGUUUUCAAAAAAUAAAAAUAAAAUAAAUAAAUAAAUAAAAAACUUAUUUUCAAGUGGAACAGACAACCACCAAACCAUUACCGGUUUGUGUUCUGGUAUGUUGAAACUCCAGCAAAGAGUGGCAUCUUGAAUUUACACAGCCUCCAUAUACUAUCCAAGUAUCUAAACACUAUUUCCAUACUAACUUUUGGAUUGGUAAGCAUGCCAAGAAACAACUCUCUUUGUCUGAUCAUUACAAACAAAACCAUUUGGAGUUAGCUAAAAGCUACUUAGCUCACCAGGACAAUUAGUCCUGGUAGAUCAGGUUUAAUCCAAAAGAUGAAAAUGUGUAAGCGAAUCCAGUUCCCUUUGUUAAGCAUGGAUGAGGAUCUGUGAUGCUGAGGGCCUGUUUACCUUCCAAAGUCUCUAGAGUCCAUGGCAUCAUGAGCUCUUUGAAAUGCCAGGAGAAUUUAAAUACAGUUCUGGUGGACUCUAACAGAAAAACUGAAAGCAGGUAAUUAUCGGGUAAUUUACAUUGCAGUGAUCCAAAUCAUGAUGAAAAUGCUUCACCAGACAUGAAAUCAACCUUCUUCCUUAGCCUUUAUUUUUCUUCAAUCUUAUAGAAAAACAGUGAGACACAAGCUUAACAGCAGGUGCAGGCUGAUGGUCAUUCUAGUCAAUUUGCAAAAAAUAAAUUUCUCCUUUAUGGUCCCACCUUGUGAAAUGUUACUGAUGAAAAAAAUAAACAUCAGUGAAACAUAUUCAUAGUGUAUACGUAAUCUGAUAUUUUAAAAUAAUUAUGUUUCUUAAUAUAAGAUUACUCAUGUAGAGUAAAAGAACAUUAAAAUACUGCAAUAAAAACCAUAUUUAUUUAAAAGCUGAUCUUCACAUCUUUUCCAGGGUUGUCAACAACUGUAAAGAAUGUUCUACGCCGACUGCAGACAACUUACAAAAAAACUCGACUGUCUAUCAGCUGCUACUGCAAAUAAAACGGGUUGUUCUAGUUAUUAUUUCCCAAAGAAACCCUCACAGAUGACUCAGAAAGAGCUUCCUAAAGGUGCUCACUGAUUCCGCACCUGCAGGAGGGAGCUAGUAAAACAAAAGCAAGUCAUAAAGUGCUAAAAGAAUUAUGUGUUUUAAACUGCAAUUACCUUUUGAACUCCUAGAAAAUGUUGAAAUCAAUAUUUAGUAAAAAAAAAAAAAAAAAAAAUCUGCAUGGCCCAUCUAUUACUGAAGGCAAUUACUUAGCCUUUAUUUAUAAUUUAUUCAAGUGGAAACGCCCGACACAGCAGAUACAAAACAACUGCGGGGGAAAAUGAAAUUAUACUCGUGAUAGGAGUUCAUUAGCGAAAGAAAAUAGGAUGAGAGUGAGUAAAUGGUUAGCAGGCAGAGGGGAGCAGGGUGCUGUUUUCUUGGAGCUUUUUUUUCUGCGGUUUGCUUCGGCUCAUUGCUUCCCAGAGAACAGCACACAUCUCUGAUAGAAACAGUAAAUCAUACCUUUAAGAAAAAUCAACUUUAAACCUGUGAGUAGGCAGGAAUGCAGGAGCGGAAAGGCCCAAAUUAGAAGUGUGUGGAGUUAGCAGGUUGUCAGGUAGCAUGUUUUUGUUUAGCUGAAGGUUUUGUUUAGAUCAGGUGCAGAUGCCUGUCCACUUCACAGUCGAGUUGAGCGUGCAGUGCAUGCAGACCUCGCAGAAUACGUGCUAAGGAAGGCUGCUCUAUGUGCAAAUGAGGCAGUGCUCUGAGGAGGAGGGUCAUGCUAGAAGAUGUACACAGGAAGAUUAUUUGACUCUAAAAAUCAUGCCAACCAACAUAAUGUGAUAAAACAACGCAACGCAACACUAGAGAUAAGUGCCACUUUUUUUUCCUUUACAGAAGGAGGCAGCAGGAAUGGUGUUAAUCAGAAAAGAGGAGAUUAAAAAGGAUUGAAAUAAAUUAGUGAAAGAAAGACAGAUAAAGUAGAGCCUUUGCAGCAACAAGGAAUGACUUUUCUGUGCAUGCAGAUGAAUCGAGAGGCAUGCAUAUAAUUCAAAAGAGGAGCAAAGAAACAGAAAAGCUUAGUUAACAUGCAGUUUAAAUUUGCCAUAACUGACAUGUUCACAGCUUAGAGAAAUCUUUUGACUCGACAUGACAGUGCUCGGUGGGACUUCAGAGCACUCUGGGGCCACACAGAGGACACAAAGGGUAAAACGCCACAUUUAAAGAAAACAGUGAUGAAACACAGAGAGACAUGGUAACCCCGUGGGGACCUCAAAGACGAAAAGCAGACCCACUUCACAACAGCUUUAUGCCUUGUGCCAGGACAAAAAACAAAACAAAACUAAAAAACAAAACAAAAACAAAAAAACUAUCAAGUUUGUGUGGCACAGGACUCCUUCUUCUAUAGCCAACACAGAAAUAGAAAACCAAAGGGGGCCUUCUGAGCGUCUGUCAGACAUUAAACGUCCACGCCACUGCCUCACAGAGAAAAGUGUCUACCCACAGAGCUGUCACACACCUGAGCAGACGCCGCUCUGUACAAACAGUCACUGAAUGACAUGAAGCACACACGUCACAGCAGUAUGUGUCAACCAAAAUCACACAUGGAGGACACAUUUCUGCCAAUGUAUCCCGUCAGGAUUAUGUUUGUUAAGACAGUGCUCUCUCUGCUAGACACUGGUUCCCAACUCUUUCGGCUUGUGGCGAGUUUCCAUUGAACCUUCUCCACAUUUUGUUACAUAAUAACAGCAAAGUUUGAUUUAUUUUAUUAGGUUUUAAUGUGACGUACCAUCACAAUGUAUUGCAUGGCAGUGACAUUAUCAUGCUCUGGGGAUGUUUUUUUUUCAGCUGAGACAGAUUGAAUGCUCUAGUUAGGUGAAAGUAAAACAUAACUUUUUGGCUGCUAUGCAGAAGAAAGCUCUUGUCACUUUCUUUGUCGUUCUUCUUGCUGCUUUUCCAUGAAGGCCAAAGUUGUGGAGUGCACUGUUGGCCUGCCAACAGAUUCUCCCAGCUGCGUACAGCUUUACGUUGGUCCAAAACAAUAAAUCAUCAUUAGAAAAAUAUUAAGCUUUGAGACCAUAUUGUGACUUUUACAAGUUUUUAUGCCUUGUAAAACAGAACAGUACAAGUCUGUUCUGUUUUAUAAUCUUUAAUCUGAGUGUAGGUUCCAUUUCAAAUGGCCUUAGUUUAAUUUUAAAGCACAGCUGGGGGCCAGUGGGGCAAUUUGUUCAAAACAACAGAAAAAAGUAAUCUCUUUAUAUUUUCCCAGAGAGUCAGACUUUCAUGUAAUCUUAUAAAGUGUUUAGGAUCGAUAUUUCUUCUGGCUUUCUGAAAAUCUUUCUGUUUGUCUUGAACAGCUCUCUGUUUUUUCAUGUUUAGUUCAGCACCUGACCCUUUUAUUUAUUAAGGCACUUAACUCUGACCUAUGAAUCAUUCAGGCAUUAAAAGAGCCAACAUUUUGUCCACAGACAACCUCACAAAGAGUCAAGUUUAAAUUGGAUCUUUAGACUUUUAGUUAGCAGCAGCCUGUCACAAAGGUACUCUUUAUUCCUAUUUCUUUAGUUGAAUAUAUGAAGUAAACAAGUCUGACAGACAUAAUGGAGUAUUUUAACACCAACAAGGUCGUUCUUAAAUGCCACAUUGGAAGAAAUCUUGACAAAUGACUGUGGAAUGAAGAAUAUCUUUGCUGGAGAUUUUUUAUCUUAUAUAUUUUUUUAAAGACAUGCCCUUCAGAUACUUUUCUUCUGCUUUAGCAUUUAUGCCUGACAUAUUUUCUUUUUGUUCUCCAUUUGUCAGAUUGUCUUAUUCUUUUAAGCAUGACAUGCUGCCACAUUCAGGUGCUUGGACUGUAAAUCAGGGAAAGAGCUACCACAAAAAACUUUAAAGGAAUCAUAGCAAGAAGUUUUUGAAAAACAAACAUAAAUAAAUAGUGGUCUAAAAUGUUUGCGAAAACUGCAUCUACCUGUACUCAACUAAAAAAACAAUUCUUUUGAUAUUCUGCACUAUAAAAUAUAAAAAAUACCAAAUAAUGUAACAAUAAAAUUCACAAUUAACUGGAAAUGCUAAAAAAUAUUUCCAUAGUUAGUUUUAGAGAAAAAGAGUAAAAAUGUAGAACCGACUGACAUCUCCUUACUGCACCAGGCAUCCUGAUGAAUGGGCAAAACACAAGACUGCAGCUCCUAGAGAGCGGACUGAAUUAACUACACACUUAAAUAUUUAAAGCACAGUUUCAGAAACUUAAUUGUACCUAUUAAUAAACAUGUCUAUGUGCAUGGAUGGGCAUAUAUUGCAGAAUUUAAAAUCUGGAACAUUCUUUCAGCAGAUCAGGUUCAACUGGUUGUUAAAUAAACAUUUACUGUACAUAAGCAUGCUAUAUUGUCUUCCAUAUAGAAAUAUUUUCUCUUUGGAGCAACAGGUGUGUUUCUGCGUACACAUAAUUUAUUCAUUUGGAACCUGCAGGCAGUGAAUAGGUGAGAGGCCAGCUGCUAAAACAUAGAGGAGGGUUUUCAGCUCAGAGUGAGCUGACAAAUGUAAAACAGAGAACUCUGGAAACUAUUUUGUUGAACUUUAAAUCGUGUUUAUUCAGGGGAUGGCUGUAUCAAAUAUCAAAUCAAAUAUUUUGAGACGAACAGGAGUUCAUCAAGAGUGUGUAUCUUACUUUCUGUGUUGCAUAAGAUGCUUUUAUUCAUUAGUUCAUUGUCUUCAUUGAUGUUUUUGCAGUUACAGUUGGAGUAAGCAUGAAGGGUAUUUAAUAUUUCACUCUGUCCACAUAAUAAAUUGGAUCAGGAUGCCAAUAAAGCCAUUUUUAAAUCUAUCUAUGUUGCCCCCUGGAUUAACCUCAAAACCUGAUGUUGGUGUAUAGUCUUUGAUUUUAUGUCAGCAACACACACAGCGUUAUUAUGCCCAACUAACAGCUACAUUUUGUGCAUCUAACAUUUUAAAACCCCUAUUUUUGUGUAUACUCUUUACAUACCUGUGCUGUAGAAGAUAUACAUUUUAAUCAAUCUGUGUAUUCCUUAAAAAUAAAAAAACAACUAGUGUUCCUAUAUUUAGAGUGAAAUAGAGACUGUGUAAACUGAUGUAUCUCCUCGCCUGCUAGGGUCAUGAGAUUGCUACCAAUGUUUCAUCACACAUCGUUCAGAGAAAAAUGCUAAAUUCAUCAAGUAGAACAACAUUUUCCUCAUGUUUUUUCACAAACCAUUAACAAGAACUGCACUGAAAUAUGUUUCAAGCCAAAUUAUUAACAAGUUGUCUUAAAAAAUGGAUCAAGCACAUUAGUAUAACACCAUAUAUGUUGUCUUUAAUUGAUGGCAAUUUUGUUUGUCAAAUGUGUUUU